GGAAAAAUGGCUGAAUGGUUAAAGCACUAGCUUGCUAAGCUAGCAACUUACGAGUUAUAUAGGUUCGAGUCCUAUUUUUUCCG
Molecule: transfer RNA, 83 nt
Filed under: Cafileria marina
Lineage: Eukaryota; Bigyra; Bicosoecida
Description: tRNA-Ser
Rfam family: tRNA
About the family: Transfer RNA (tRNA) molecules are approximately 80 nucleotides in length. Their secondary structure includes four short double-helical elements and three loops (D, anti-codon, and T loops).
Source: RNAcentral